RNAcentral lists this long non-coding RNA (611 nucleotides) under Elaeis guineensis (African oil palm). RNAcentral's name for it is "long non-coding RNA (EGUI_LNC073191)". The record is from RNAcentral. Lineage: Eukaryota; Viridiplantae; Streptophyta; Magnoliopsida; Arecales; Arecaceae.
ACAUACUCAUUUAGCAUGUGCAAACUCUUGCUGCGGCAAUUCAAGCAAUAUAGCAGGCUAACGCAGGCACCUCGGAAGGCAUCUCGACCAUCACCACCUCACCUCAGAUAAUAAUAGAGAUAAAGGAGAAGCUAUCAAGAGCAAGGAGGAUGUGGGUCUCAUCGAUUCGAUGUGAUCUAGCUGCAAGAUGAGAUUGAGGAGUUCAUUCGGUGUAGACAAUUAAACAAAUUCCUGAGGCAUCAGAGAGAGCAACAUGAAGCUUUGCCUGAAUUACCUCAUCUACCUAAACCACCUCGGCAAGAAGAACCUAUGAAAAAUCAAUCUACUAUCGAGGUAAUAAACACCAUCACUGAGGGCAGUUCGGUGGCAUAUCAAAAAGCUCGACAAUACCAACCAAGAGGAUAGGCUCUAAGAGAGAUAGACUCACACAACUCAAAAACUCUCAUGGUGAGAGGCUCCCAAGCCCUCAUCUCUUAUUUUAUUUUCUUUCUUUCUUUGUAGGUCCAUAGAUCUAUGAGCACUCAAGGUUGAGACUGAGGUGAAGACUAAAAUCGAGGCUGAAGUAAAGCCCAAGCCUGACAUCGAGAUGACCCAAGGCUAAGAUGAGCCCA